AGUGCUUGUAAAGACUACUUUUAUGAUACUUCCAUUGUGUUUUUGCAUCCUUUUUGAAGUUUUAAAACUUUAUUGUAAUUAAAUCAGUGACUAGGAUAUUAUUCAGAAUUUCUCUGUUUGUGUUUCACAAUUGCAGCAAAGUCAUAUGGGUUCAGACCAACAUGAGGAUAAGUAAAUGACCACAGAAUGUUCAGAUUUGGGUGAGUGGGCUCAGCCAGGAUAGCAAGUAGCUGUUAUUUGGGUGGAGUCCUGUGCUUUCUCCAUUAACCAUUAAAGGAAGCAUCUCUGAACUGCAAUGCGGUGAGAAGGACAGCUGUGAUUUGCCAUUUCUGGUGAAUAAACAAACAGACUGAGAAUGUGGAUGGUGCCUACCUGCUCUGUGUCUGUUGCUGUUGCUGUGAGAGUGUAGCGUGCUUUGAAGUUUCCACCUGAGUGAAGGACUGCACACAAACUCCACUGGAUGUAGAGGCUGGAUUAGGUAAGUGUGUGUGAUAGAGAACCACCCCACCUGUACCUAUGCUGGAGAGAAUUCACAUGCGCUGUUUGAGUAUGUGACAGACUUCAAGCCAUAGCGACAAUGUCUGUCAAGAAAUUUCUUUGAGUGGUUAAAACAUU
This is a long non-coding RNA of Cyprinus carpio (common carp), 615 nucleotides long. NCBI's taxonomy places the organism in Eukaryota, Metazoa, Chordata, Actinopteri, Cypriniformes, Cyprinidae. The record is from Ensembl.